Tupaia belangeri chinensis (Chinese tree shrew) is the source of this 761-nucleotide long non-coding RNA. RefSeq lists it as uncharacterized. The transcript has 4 exons. The record is from RefSeq and is a predicted model, not a curated record. Lineage: Eukaryota; Metazoa; Chordata; Mammalia; Scandentia; Tupaiidae.
GAAAUCAUCACCCAGCCAGCCCUGCCCAUAUGGAAGGGAGACUACCCCGAGCCGUGACCGCCCUGCUGCUGCUCUCAGGUCUCCCUGUGAUCGCCCCAUCCUGCCCAAGACGAUGACCAGGUCUGCUCACACUGCACAAGACAAGGAAUACUUGGCCCUUUGUUUUAGAUGCCGUCUUCCCUUUACAAGUUUUGUUCCUCACUCGACCUUUCCACUCCAGUCAUCUGAGCACCGGGAAUAGUCUCUCCAGUUACCCAGACUUCUCUCGGAGACACCCUGGGUGUCCAGCAGCCGCAAAUCAUAAUAAAUCAGGAUUCCGACAACGCAGGACUCUUCUGAUAGAGAUCAGCCUCAUAAACUUCCACAUUUGACAAGAAGAGUCGCAACUCACCUCAAAGAGUUUGGUUUCUUCAAAUACUCAGAGAGACUGUUGGUGCAAACGGAAAGAUCCGAAUGAGCAUUUGGAGUUUGGCUGCUAUAGACAUUGGCUACCUUUGUCGCUUGUAUUUUCCGGCAGCCAAAGAGGAAUAUUACCCGACGUCCGAGCUUUUCCCUUGUCUCCCCUUUUCACACAGUAGAGACUCUGUACAAUCAAUUUCAAUCAAGCUUGUUGCCCUGUCCUCUCGGCUUCUUUCAAAGAAUGCUUUUUGUUGUUGUGUUGUUGUUUUUUCCUAAAGCCAGUGUCUUUGUGCUAUUAACCUUUGCCAUCCCCUUUGCCAGAGUCGCACGUCACAUUGCAUUCUGAUCACUCACCCUCAACC